AGUGAACGCUGGCGGUAGGCCUAACACAUGCAAGUCGAACGGCAGCACAGGAGAGCUUGCUCUCUGGGUGGCGAGUGGCGGACGGGUGAGGAAUACAUCGGAACCUACCUUUUCGUGGGGGAUAACGUAGGGAAACUUACGCUAAUACCGCAUACGACCUACGGGUGAAAGCAGGGGAUCUUCGGACCUUGCGCGAUUGAAUGAGCCGAUGUCGGAUUCGCUAGUUGGCGGGGUAAAGGCCCACCAAGGCGACGAUCCGUAGCUGGUCUGAGAGGAUGAUCAGCCACACUGGAACUGAGACACGGUCCAGACUCCUACGGGAGGCAGCAGUGGGGAAUAUUGGACAAUGGGCGCAAGCCUGAUCCAGCCAUACCGCGUGGGUGAAGAAGGCCUUCGGGUUGUAAAGCCCUUUUGUUGGGAAAGAAAUCCAGCUGGUUAAUACCCGGUUGGGAUGACGGUACCCAAAGAAUAAGCACCGGCUAACUUCGUGCCAGCAGCCGCAGUAA
This 506-nucleotide ribosomal RNA is filed under the name uncultured bacterium. RNAcentral describes it as "partial 16S ribosomal RNA". It matches the Rfam family "Bacterial small subunit ribosomal RNA", at positions 29 to 523 of the family's 1533-position model. The record is from RNAcentral.